GACGAACGCUGGCGGCGUGCUUAACACAUGCAAGUCGAACGGAGUGGCGAACGGGUGAGUAACACGUGGGUGAUCUGCCUUGCACUUCGGGAUAAGCUUGGGAAACUGGGUCUAAUACCGGAUAGUGCAAGAUGAGCUCGCGGCCUAUCAGCUUGUUGGUGGGGUAAUGGCCUACCAAGGCGUCGACGGGUAGCCGGCCUGAGAGGGGGUACGGCGACAAUGCGACUGAGGUACGGACCAGACGCCAACGGGGGGCAGCAGUGGGGAAUAUUGCACAAUGGGCGGAAGCCUGAUGCAGCGACGCCGGGGGGGGGAUGAAGUUUUUCGGGUUGUAAACUCCUUUCGACAGGGACGCGGUACCUGUAUAAGAAGCACCGGCUAACUACGUGCCAGCAGCCGCGGUAAUUC
This 408-nucleotide ribosomal RNA is filed under the name uncultured bacterium. Its description in RNAcentral is "partial 16S ribosomal RNA". It matches the Rfam family "Bacterial small subunit ribosomal RNA", at positions 28 to 526 of the family's 1533-position model. The record is from RNAcentral.